RNAcentral lists this ribosomal RNA (497 nucleotides) under uncultured bacterium. RNAcentral describes it as "partial 16S ribosomal RNA". It matches the Rfam family "Bacterial small subunit ribosomal RNA", at positions 28 to 507 of the family's 1533-position model. The record is from RNAcentral.
GAUGAACGCUGGCGGCGUACCUAAUACAUGCAAGUCGAGCGAACAGACGAGGAGCUUGCUCCUCUGACGUUAGCGGCGGACGGGUGAGUAACACGUGGAUAACCUACCUAUAAGACUGGGAUAACUUCGGGAAACCGGAGCUCAUACCGGAUAAUAUAUUUAACCGCAUGGUUCAAUAGUGAAAGACGGUUUUGCUGUCACUUAUAGAUGGAUCCGCGCCGCAUUAGCUAGUUGGUAAGGUAACGGCUUACCAAGGCAACGAUGCGUAGCCGACCUGAGAGGGUGAUCGGCCACACUGGAACUGAGACACGGUCCAGACUCCUACGGGAGGCAGCAGUAGGGAAUCUUCCGCAAUGGGCGAAAGCUUGACGGAGCAACGCCGCGUGAGUGAUGAAGGUCUUCGGAUCGUAAAACUCUGUUAUUAGGGAAGAACAAAUGUGUAAGUAACUAUGCACGUCUUGACGGUACCUAAUCAGAAAGCCACGGCUAACUACGUG